This is a non-coding RNA of Pelobates cultripes (western spadefoot toad), 211 nucleotides long. The record is from the annotation of a GenBank genome assembly. Lineage: Eukaryota; Metazoa; Chordata; Amphibia; Anura; Pelobatidae.
CUUCUCACCAAGCAACUUCCAAAAUGUGGAGUGGAGCACUGGCCCACCCUACUCUCCAGGUGCUCCACCCCAGGGCCCAAAUAUACACAUAUUUAAAGUGCAACAUUCAUUAGAACAUAACACAUUUACCUGGGGCUAAUUACACAAAGUAAGAACCUUGCAAAAUCUGGGGAGGUAUAUAGGUUCCUUCCAGCACAAUUCCUUGCUUUCU